Molecule: unclassified non-coding RNA, 3138 nt
Filed under: Mizuhopecten yessoensis (Yesso scallop)
Lineage: Eukaryota; Metazoa; Mollusca; Bivalvia; Pectinida; Pectinidae
Description: ladderlectin-like, transcript variant X2
Source: RNAcentral
UAGACCAAUGACGAAGGAAAAUGAAAGUGAAAAUGAUAAUUUUCGGUAACAUAGUCAAGUUCAGCCUUCGUGAGGCAAUGCUAUAUGAUGUGAGUGUAUAUAUUGCUAACCAGCAAUCGUAUUUAUUUUAGAUGAAUUGACACGCAAACAACAUCUAACGCGUACUGAAUUGUCCAACUAGGCCUACUUCCUAUAUUUGAAAACUCCAUCUACAGGAAAUACGAAAGCAGAUAAAAUUAACAAUGAAGUGUGUGGUGCUGAUGUUGAUAGUUUUACUACAAGUUGAUGCUUCUUACCAACAAAAUAUCCUUCCCGAACACAAAAGGAGACACUGUAAUGCUCUACAGACCUCGGAUAUCAUGGAGCAUGCGUUACCUGAGAUACGCCGCAUACUUCAGACAGAAGCCGAAAAAAACAGACGUCUCCUUCAGACAGAAGCCGAAAACAACAGACGUCUCCUUCAGACAGAAGCCGAAAACAACAGACUUCUCCUUCAGACAGAAGCCGAAAACAACAGACGUCUGCAUGAAGAGCACGUUUCUACUUUAAGAGGUGUGAUCUUGUUGAGAUGUGAUCCUGGAUGGUUAUACAAUGCUAAUCAUUGUUACCUGUUUUCUCAGUCACGCAAAACAUGGCAAGAGGCAAUAGAAAAAUGCCAGGACAUGAACGCCUACCUAGCAGACAUUCAAAGUGAUGAAGAAAAUCGAUUUGUCAAGAUGGAAUUGAGCAGACGCCAUGAAGAAAACCCAGAACUUGGUGAUUAUUUUCUUGGAGGAUAUCUAAGCACUACGGAACGUAAAUGGAUCUGGAGAAGGACUGGUGAGCAAUUUGGAUAUACUGACUGGGCACCAAACGAACCAAACAAUCACCAGGAUCUUGGUGAAGAAUGUCUGAUGCUGUACGGAAGGACACUCUUUCAAUGGAAUGAUGUUAGAGUUGUGUCCCUUGCGUUGAAAAUCUCCAAUCGCGAAAGUGAGGGGAAAAAGCUGUCGUAACGAUGUAAACAACGUCGCCGUAGCAGUCAUGACAGACACGCAAGCCCGACGCAAAAACGGCCGUUUUAAAUGUAAACGAAACACAUAUACUGACAAUAAUAACAACAACAAUGUCCAAUAUGAACUGCUUGACCACGACUAUGCGACAAGAAAAUGUGACACUCGUUCACACAUUGAAGAGACGCUAUCUACUGGGGCCCCUACUGCCAAUUUGACUGAGGAGCCGACACCGAUGAGGAUCCCUUCAGUACUACUAACAGUGACCAAGAAUACACCAAUAACUGUUUAACCUGGUCGCAGGGUAGACGUGUGGUUGAACUCGCGGUGCUAUCGGAAUAACUGCACCAGAAAGGUUGUAAGGAAUGCGGCACUAGGCUACGGUUGUGUAAUACCCAGCAGGAAAGACAUUAUGGCAUUGGAAGUCUUGAAUACAUACAAGGUCGAACACGAAGUGUUUCCUUGAAGAUGAAGAUGAACAAUACCUACCAGGACAGGAAUGAUAUUCAGACGUCACACGUGACAAGUUAUCACUGAUAAUUUGAUUUCGGGUUUUAGAACAUUAUAUGAUUGACUGUUGAAAUACUUACAUAUAUUAUAUAUUGCAUAUUACAUUUAUAGUAACUAAAGUAUGUUUAUCCCCUCGAGACGAUGUCGUGGAGGAUCUCCACUGAUUUGAAUCAAACUUCAUAUAGUGGUCAUGCAUGACAAUAUCACGAACGCGUUUGUGUUUCCUUGUACAAAGGUAAAGUUUAAGGUCGCAAUUACACAUAAUGAACAAACGUUCCUAAACUUAAUUUAAGCACAAUGACGAUGACAAUUGCUCGCGCAUGUAAUGACACCUCCCCGGUAUUCCAAGAGUUACGCCUGCUUUCGAUCUCUGCACCACUAGAAUAUGUGAUAGCAGAGUUGAAGGCACGCGGCUAGUUUUCUGAUUGGCAUCAGGUGAAAAAAAAUCAGACCAAUCGCAUGCUGAUGCGUGUCCUCUGAAGAUUACAAGGGAGUGACAUCCGACUUCAAAGCCAGUCAAUUAUUCCGAUUAGCGGCCGCGAUAUUCGUUUAGUGUAUAUGACAGGAUCAACUAGGCAUCUUGUCUAAUCCUUAAGGAGGCGCACACUGAGCCUUCGAUUUUGCUAUGACAUAUUCCAUGGGUGCAGAGAGAGUAAAUGAGCGUAGCCCUUAGAGCAUUGAGGAUGGGUAUGCCAAAAAUUAUGAAAAACGAUAAAGAAAGGGAUUGAAAAAAAUUGCUCUGUCUGUAAGUCUGCAGUAUAGAAGACCAGGUUUCGACAUCGUCAAUACCAGUUUACUUCGAAACGGAAAAUAAAUAUAAGGGGACGUUAUGGUAAAUACAAACAUGGCGUUAUGGAGUGUUUUGCCGGCGAUGGGACAGGAAUCCUGCAUAAAUUGUUUGUUGAGAGAAAGUUACAAGCUGAAGUGCUCAACACUCCGUGUCAUCAUACAACUACAUUAAAUAAUGUUUUUGUUCCUCUUAUCAUUGAAGGAUCAAACGAAGGUUUGUACGUAAUUGAUGGAGCUACUUCCUUUACUUCAUCUUUAUAAAUAUUUCAAAAUUUAACAAGUAGUUUAUUCAUUUAUCUCCUCAUUAACCCUAUCGUUUUGCAAGAAUGAAUACAGUUAAUGUGCGGUUGACUUGAAGUUCUUUGUUUAUUUCUAGCGAUGAUUCAUUGAACCUAAGACAUUAAGAUAAUUAAAACAAUCAAUGAAAACUUCCUUUAAACACGCAAUGCAUUUGUUUUUUAACAUCGCGAUCGUUCCUCCCUUCAUUGAUGGUGGCAGUUUUACCGAAAGUUUAUUAAAACCCACAGAACGUGUAAAACUACUCUGAACACCUUAAUUUAGGUCCAGAUAUAGUUGUAACAAACAUACACCAGUUUACGAUUUGGUAACGAUUUUACUGUCCAACGAGUUACGCUCUUUCGAAUAAGUCAUUCUUACAAUUGUCUUGCACUAACUCUGUGAAAAUAGAGCAUUUUAUAAAAUAUCAGUACAUAUAUACAUGUGUGGAUGCACGUGAAAAGGGCAUAAAAUGCGCGAUAGCCUCUGAUUACACGUACCUUGACAGGUAUAUAGACCAUGCGCAAGCAGGCUGUGGAAUGAUGUCCCUUGUCCACAUGAUCGAGAGAAA